Molecule: ribosomal RNA, 489 nt
Filed under: Triticum aestivum (bread wheat)
Lineage: Eukaryota; Viridiplantae; Streptophyta; Magnoliopsida; Poales; Poaceae
Description: partial small subunit ribosomal RNA
Source: RNAcentral
AUGGUAGAAGGAAGUGCUGCAGGAUAUCGUCACACGUGGGUCAUCGCCCGUGAAGGAGUGAAGCUUGUGAGAGCCAUGUUCGCCAAUGGCUGCCGUCCUGUGGGAGCUAUGGGCGCCGGGUGCCGGUGGCUCGUGGGAGCAAUGGCCGCGCUGGUCGCCGUCACGUGGGAGCUAUGGGUGCCGGUGGCUCAUGGGAGCUAUGGGCGCGCUGGUCGCCGUCACGUGGGAGCUAUGGGCGUCGGGUGCCGGUGGCUCGUGGGAGCCAUGGCCGCGCUGGUCGCCGUCACGUGGGAGCUACGGGCGCCGGGUGCCGGUGGCUCGUGGGAGCCAUGGGCGUGCUGGUUGCCGUCACGUGGGAGCUAUGGGCGUCGGGUGCCGGUGGCUCGUGGGAGCCAUGGCCGGGUUGGAGCUAUGGGCGCCGGGCACCGCUGCAAUGUGGAAGCUACGCAUUGGAGCCAUGGGCACCGGUCGGCCGGCCGCCUCUGCUAG